Molecule: ribosomal RNA, 427 nt
Filed under: uncultured bacterium
Lineage: Bacteria
Description: partial 16S ribosomal RNA
Rfam family: Bacterial small subunit ribosomal RNA
Source: RNAcentral
GUGGGGAAUAUUGGGCAAUGGGGGAAACCCUGACCCAGCGACGCCGCGUGAGGGAAGAAGGCCUUAGGGUCGUAAACCUCUGUUGUGUGGGAAGAAGAGCGUGACGGUACCACACGAGGAAGUCCCGGCUAACUACGUGCCAGCAGCCGCGGUAAUACGUAGGGGACGAGCGUUGUCCGGAUUUACUGGGCGUAAAGGGCGCGUAGGCGGUCAUUUAAGUCAGCUGUGAAAUGGUUUGGCUUAACCGGAUCAUGCGGUUGAAACUGGAUGACUGGAGUGCUGGAGAGGCAAGUGGAAUUCCCAGUGUAGCGGUGAAAUGCGUAGAUAUUGGGAAGAACACCGGUGGCGAAGGCGACUUGCUGGCCAGCAACUGACGCUGAGGCGCGAAAGCCAGGGGAGCGAACGGGAUUAGAUACCCGGGUAGUCC